RNAcentral lists this small nuclear RNA (107 nucleotides) under Meriones unguiculatus (Mongolian gerbil). Lineage: Eukaryota; Metazoa; Chordata; Mammalia; Rodentia; Muridae. The record is from RNAcentral.
AUUGCUCUUGCUCAGGCUGUACAGGUGCCAGAUGGAAUGAUGCGGGAAUGUUAGCAUGGCUCCUGCGCAAGGACGACAUACAAAUGUGUGAAACAGUCUACGUUUAA